RNAcentral lists this long non-coding RNA (3071 nucleotides) under Octopus vulgaris (common octopus). The record is from RNAcentral. Lineage: Eukaryota; Metazoa; Mollusca; Cephalopoda; Octopoda; Octopodidae.
CUCAACGAUGAAAUUUUCAGGCCAAUAUUCCCUUUUAAGUCAAAACAUUCUGUACACAUGAAGCUGUAAGGAGGUAUGGGAAAACAUUGCCUUUUUGCGGUGUAUCUAGUAAGUGUACAUGGCAAAGCCUAUGUGGGGUAGAAAGGGCUCCUUAGCCGUAGUGAAGGCAAUCUAUCUAGGGAGAUAACCUAACAAUAAAUCACUCGGUCCGUAGCUUAGAAAUACUGGGUUGACGUCCAGCGGGAACAGCUUUGUUUCAUGGAGGAGGAAAGAUCUUCUUUAGUACUUGGUUGUACAAUGCUUUCCAAUGUGUGUAGUAGUGGCGCGCGCACACAUUAUUAGCCAUUUGAAAAGACUAUGAAAGUCUCGACCACGGUCGAACAAUGAUGAUGAUGAAAGCCUAUCCCUUAUUAAACUUAACCCACGAGAAGAGUUUUCACUCAGUUCAGUAAAUUAUUGAAAUACUCGUCAAUUAUGCAGUUCUCAUAGAUAAAAUUAGUGGGAGUGUUGCUUCUGAAAAUGUUUAGCCGUUGUUUUAAUAUUGUGUAAAAGGAAAAAAAAAAAACAUAUCAAAAGAAUAUUUAUACAUAAACUUGAUCGGUAAGCGUUUUAGCCACUGCCUAGUGGUGUGUUUAAUUUGUUCACUGAACUUCGCUGCGAAUUUCCACUUGUUUUUCAACUCCCCCUCUAAAUCACCAAAUAAGCGGGGCAGAAACCAGCCUUAUUUUUCAAAUCCUGGCAGCAACACAGAAGCUGGAAGCAAGAUAAUAAUCUAAUUCUACCCCUUAUCACAUUCAAGAAUAUAAACAUGUUUUUAAGCACAACACACGCAGAGUCAAAAAGAAACACUACCUUUCACCGGCACUGUCGUUCACGCAGUGCUCUCUCUCCCUAGCAUGAAGCUUCCUAUCUCGGACAUGUGAGCAUGCGCACAACAGCCAAACACUGCGUCGCUGGAACUGUGAAGCGCACAGUUCUAUUCAAGGAUUUUUGUAUUUUUUCAUAAACUAGGGGAUGGCUACUGAUAUUAAGUAUAAGGAUCAUAUAAUGUACAAGUAUAAAGAAAGAAUUAAAGGAAAAAGGACUCAUUAUAUUGAAAGUUAUCGAUAAUAUCGAGUGGAAAUAGGGGUGCUGCAGUUCCGCAGUGCCUAUACACGGGCUGCCACAGGUUCUCUUGCUGCCUAUUGUGAUUGCCGUUCUAUAAGUAGCAAUGGUAACGCGAUACAAACCCAUCGGCGCAGUUCUCUAAGCAAUGACAUUGACCAAAUCUUCAAAGACGAUGAAAAGGCAAUAUACCAGUUUAAAUUAUCUUAGUUUUGUGCCUAUAAGUUCUAAGUUUAAAUCGAGUGUGGGCAAACCUUUUACAAGAAAUGGGCCGCAUGAAACAUGGCUCAUGGUCAGGCGGGUCGCACUAUUAAAAGAAAAAUGAAGGUAAUGUUUCGUUAGGUGUGCCCUUCAGAAAGUCCCACGAGCCGCUUGAUGCCUGUGGGCCGCGGGUUGCCCACGAGUGGUUUAAACCACCCACUAGAAACGAUUUUGACUUUUAUUUCCUUCAGGUCGAUGAAAAUAAGUACAAAAAUAUAUACUGAGUACGAUUUCAUCAAGUGUAUCCUAAAUAAAAAUUGGCUUCAUGCCUACACCGCCCACCCUAACACAUACAAAAAAAAAAAUCAAUAUAUAAAGUUUGUGGCAGCUGCUUUGGUGCGACAAUCAGUUUUCAUAAACCGAGUCUUUGACCUGGUUUCCAUUCUAUUUGAAAAUUUUCGCGUACACCGUUAUUGCUUAAAAAAAAAUAACACCGAAAAUUUUAAUAAAGCGUAAUUCAUAUUUUUCGAAUUUCUCCUCCUUAAACAAAAUCUGAAGGCUUUAAUGCUUAUAUAAAACAUCAUUAUUUGAAGUACAAAAGCGGUAGAAUGUCGAACGAUAUGUUCUUACACCAUUGUACUUUACACACCCACACCUAUCUUUUAACCUUAAAUUUUAGCUGUAGUAGACUUUACCUUUCAACUCUUCCACCUUGAGGGUGUCUGUGAGAAAAUGAGCACUGGUUAUUCAUUCAACUAUACCCAUCUCUUGCAAAUGUAUAGUCUUGUGCCAUCCAGCAACAAGGAUUGAAUAAAACCACAAUAAUGUGUAUUUUAUAUACAAAAUUUCGCCCACGAAUCCAAGAAUAUACCUUUCACCACCCGAAACAAUUUAUGGAUCGUAACCCCAAAAUUUGAAAACGCUGCUAAAGAUCUAUUUUGCCUUUUAUAGAUUUAUGCUAAUCGAUAUUUCGUCAGAAUAUUGAUUUUUAAUGGUUUCCUCACAAGUACAUCUUGUGAUGGCAGCAGCCUUACCACCACCAGCAGCAGCAGCAACAACAACAACAAUAGAACACACAUUUUCAUGAAUUAAAAAAAAAAUAUGAUUCAAAAUAUUUACUUGUUGGUAUUUCAUUCAAUUUUUGGUUAAAACAUUUUAAAUUGUGAAUUACGAUGGCAGCAUUGAUGACAAAGAAUGUAGGCGGUAUUAAUGUUACUGUUGGUGGUGGCUGCGGCGGAGGUAAGUGGUGAUGACGAAAUGACAGAAGUGAGAAAGAGGUUAAUUGAUGAUAAUUAUGAUGAUGAUGAUGAUGAUGAAGAUGAUGAUGGUGAUGAUGAUGACAGCGGUAAAGAAAACGACGAUGACAGUUGUAAUAAUGUUGAGUAGGAAUAAUAUACGGAUGGAUAUAAUGAUAGUAUCGUUACUGUUUUAGUCCCUGGUUAACCUCGAUCAAGAAAAACCUACAAUAAAAAUUUAAAAAACCCAUUCUGUCCAUGAUCAUCUUAUUUUCUUGUUUAUGAAGAUUUACAUUAUCUACUGUGUCCUUUAUUUAAAACAGCGGAGAUUGAUUUGAAAGUUAUUUGGCUGCUAUUUCUUGUAGGUCAAAAACGGCCACGAAUAGACUCCCUUACGAUCUCACGAAGAUUAUGGUGAUGGCAGUAGAGCUGGUGAUGACAAUAAGAUGAUGACGGCGACGACGACGACGAUGUUGCUGAUGAAGAUGAUGAAGAUGAAGAUGAUGAUGAUAAUAAAUAUGUAUAAGAUAG